RNAcentral lists this ribosomal RNA (951 nucleotides) under Triticum aestivum (bread wheat). Its description in RNAcentral is "partial small subunit ribosomal RNA". The record is from RNAcentral. Lineage: Eukaryota; Viridiplantae; Streptophyta; Magnoliopsida; Poales; Poaceae.
AUGGUGAAGCAAAUACAGCAUAAAUUUGAGGUCACCAUAAGUCAAUUUGAAUCGGAGAUUGCUGACCUAAAGAGCCAGCUGAAGCUGCAAGUGCUUGAAACUCAAAAGGCAAACUCCAAGUUUGAAUUCAGCAUCUCUGAACAAGAAAAACUGAAGAAAAUUUUUGAGUCGGAGAAACAAGCUUGGGUUGAUGAGAGGGUUGCAUUAGUGACUCGGGCCGAAACGACAGAAGCAUCUCUUGCGGAAGCAACAACCGAACUAUCCGACUUAAAGCGGCAGAUAUCCCAAAUGGUCUCAGCCAUCUUCAGCCCCAGGAGUACCAACCUCAAGCAAAACAUACUGAUCAAGCUCAAGGCGGUUUACACCCUUGUGGAGCAGCUGUACACCGGGUCACAACGUGCCUUGGCCGUUGUAGCUUUAUCAACUCCACAUCCCCGCCUUCUGCAAGACGUAUUGAAGAGCCUCGCUUUUCUUCCUCAGCGGAUCCAAGAUCUAAGGCGGGCGUCCUCAAGAGCCGGAGCUGUAGCCGCAUUGAGUCGGGCUAAAGCAUGGCUCCCGGAACUAGACCCGGCCGACCUUGCCCUUGGAUACCCAAGUCUGAAGGAGGACGGUACUACCUUUGAUGAUCAUGAUUUCAACGCCUGUGUCAAAGCCAUACGUCCCGUGGCGACUCUUAUUGGAAAUGACACAGAUCUUAGCAAGUAUGCAUCGGCUUAUGACAGUGAAAACCGGAGAAUCCCAAAUGCUCCGUAUGAUCAAAUCAGCCUGAUCCCUCCAAUGCGUAAGCAUACCUUUGCCCCUGAAGUGGACCCGGCUGGUUUAAUAGAUGAUGAGGCUGAAUUUGAAGCCUUAAGCGGCAUUGACUGGGCCUCGUCCACCUUCCAGGACAAAGCAACCGACGGGGAGGCGGAGAAGGAUAACCCGAAGCCAUCAAGCCCGCCAAAGGAUUGA